GAUGAACGCUAGCGGGAGGCUUAACACAUGCAAGUCGAGCGGGAUUAGCAGCAAUGCUAUGAGAGCGGCGCACGGGUGCGUAACGCGUAUGCAACCUGCCUUAUGCCGGGGGAUAGCCCAUGGAAACGUGGAUUAAUACCCCAUAGAACUGGAGAGCCGCAUGGUAAUUUAGUUAAAACUGAGGUGGCAUAAGAUGGGCAUGCGUCUGAUUAGGUAGUUGGUAGGGUAACGGCCUACCAAGCCGACGAUCAGUAGGGGUCCUGAGAGGGUUACCCCCCA
RNAcentral lists this ribosomal RNA (279 nucleotides) under uncultured bacterium. RNAcentral describes it as "partial 16S ribosomal RNA". It matches the Rfam family "Bacterial small subunit ribosomal RNA", at positions 28 to 310 of the family's 1533-position model. The record is from RNAcentral.